AGCAUAAGGAAGUUCCCAGGCUAGGGGUCGAAUCGGAGCUACAGCUGAUGGCCACAGCCACAGCCACAGCAAUGCGGAAUCCAAGCCACUUCUGCAACCUACAUCACAGCUCACAGCAAUGCCGGAUCCUUAACCCACUGAGCAAGGCCAGGGGUCGAACCUGCAUCUUCAUGGAUACUAGUUAGAUUCGUUAACUGCUGAGCCACGAUGGGAACUCUGUGACUUUUUUAAUGGUUCUGAGGCUGAACUGAUGUUCUGUGAGGAAGUGUGAGAUUUCGAGAAGCGCAUUGACUUUAAAAAUGCAACGUAAUGAUUGGGUGGCUAUGCAAGCAGGAAAUCAUUUAAUUUUGGGACACUCUCUCUGAAGACCGUAAUCAUUCAGAUGGGUUUGAGCUGUCUCUGUCAUGUAGCAGUAAGUUCAGAGAUUUCUUUCCUGGGUGACUUUGAACUCUGUCUUUAGUGGUUUUAGUACAUCAUGUUGAAGUGUGAGGUAAAAAUUAUUGAAAAAAACGUUAGUGAUAUUUGUACCUGUUGUAGUGAAAGGUUAGAAUCUUCCUUCAAUUAGGAUGAGGAUACAGCAGGAUAUGAACAGGCCCAUUUGCAGGGUCAGGCUUUGGGGCCAGGAGACAGCAAGAUUCAGGUUAAGAGGGAUUUGGAAUUUAUAACUACAGUUGCUUGGAAACCAGGACGUCAGGAAGCACCAAGGAAGAUGCAAGUUUCAAAGAUCAAGGGAGGAUAGAACCUAGAAUUCAACAGGUCAGAAGAUCUGAAAAAGUGGUUCUCCCAAACUGGGCAGGGACUGUCCAUCUCAGCCCCUGUUUUAUUUUUUGCUGAUGCUGCCUGCCACAGUCCUACAGUUGAAUCUGGGACAUGCCAAUGCACCUUGUUUUUCUAGUGUCAUCAGAAUUUUCGCCAACAUAUAGCUUGAAGGUAUUUCAAAUAUAUUUUAAGCAUUAUUGCAUUCAGCUGACUUUUUAAAAGCACAAAGUGGUAAAGUAAUAUUUCUAUCUACAUAUUGGUCAUUAGAUUUAAGAGCACUUUAUGUUUUUAUAGACGACCUUAUCAUGUGUACUGCUAAUUUCAAUGCUGUUCCCGGAUUCACAUUUAUAUAGCUGUCACUGGAUGUACCGUUUGUAUUUUUCCCAGCACAAAUAUCACCUUUAUUAUUUUAAAAAAUUGUUAAGGAAUAGGUAUAAUUGUCAGUUUUUUAUGGAUGCAUCAUUGUUUUACAAUAUCAUACUAGUUACAGGUGUUGUUACUGCUUUCUCUGCAGGGGCUGAAAUGUACAUUGCGGUGGUUGUUUUUUAAUAUACAGCUGGUCCGCCAACACACCCAUCUAAUUUUUUGACUCGGUUUGGCUUGGCUUGAUAAUCAAACCCCAAAUGGCAAUAAGGAUUAAAUCACUUCAGCCCAUUUAUUACAUUCUUAUUUAUGAGGUCGUUGGCCUAACACAAGCAGUUUCUGUGUUUUAUUUCAUAUCCCAGGGCCAGGCUACUCUUCACAGAUUCCAGAUGGUAUAACGGUAGACUUCAAGACCAGUGCUUUCUGGUUCCUAGGCUUUUCUGGUUUCUGAGGGGCACUUUAGGAUUAUGGAAGUGGUUCUAGAAAAACACCACCACUUGUCAAAAUCUCUUUGGCAGACACUCUAAGCUCUCUUUGUAGGUACCUUAUCUAAAAACAUUCCUUUGCUGGCAAGUGUUGAGGUCAUCCUGUUCCACAAAUGGCAAGGCAGGGAGACCUACUGGCUUUCCGUUGGCAAAGGAUGGGUGGUUAGAGAUUUUUCCAGUAACAUAGGGAUUUAUGAUUACUCAUCCGUCUUCCUACACUCAGUCUCCUUAGUGACAGAGGCACACAUGCUGUGUUGUAAUAUUUGACUCCUGGACGCCUGUUCCCACUUUGCAAAUACAAUUUUGACUUGACCACAACAGCAAGUCUUACUAAAACAUUUUCCAUUUUAGGACAAUUAUCUUUAUUUAUUAAAGUAAUAAAAAUAUAAAUGAAAAAAAUAAAUGGGGUUCCAAUUAGCUCCCACAUCCCUGGAAAUGAAAGUGGAAAAUUUUUUGUUUAUCUGUGUCCAAGAGAAAUUAAGAGCAGUGCUAUAUUGGUGCUAUAGAUAAGAACAUAAGUAAUCUCAGAUCCCUGGGGAAAUCAUUGCUCUUCAGACUGAGACACUUCAGCAUUACUCCAAGUAGGAGUCUGCCUCUUCUCUUCAUGCCAUUCCUUGUACCUGAAACAUAUUACAGGAACUGAAACUGGAACUGGAGGGCUUGAGAGAGCGUCUUAGACUUGGAACUUCUUGAGGGCAGAUACUCAAGGAUCCGUCUUAUCUCUGUAAACCUUUGCAGUACCUAUAGCUGCAUUAUGUUCAUGGUAGGGGGAAAGAUUCCAUAAGCUGUACUUGCUAACUUGCUGAGUUUCUGCAGUCUUGUGAGCUGCUUUAAAUCCCUUCUGGAACCAGUGUCAGUAGUAUGUCCUCACUUAAAAACUAUUCCAGGGAAGAACUUUCUUAACCUCUUGAGUAUACUUACCUAAGUAUUAGAGAUUUUUCUUUUUUUACGUGAUGAAAGGCAUACUAAAGAGAGCUUACCUUUGGGAAUCUUACCCAUUUGUUGUAAAGAGAAGAUUUCACCCUUUUGCAAACUCAAUAAUCCAUGUAAAAUAAUCUAUUGAGACUUUGAUGCCACGAGAAGUCAAGUCAUGGACAAGAAAGCACAUCACCCUAUUACGUGCCCAAUGGUCUGGGAAGGCUUCUUCCUGCAGGGAGUUGAGCUGAAUCUCCAUGGAUUGGAUGGAUUUGGAAAAGAGGCGUGUGAGGAGGGCCUCCCAGAGAAGGAGGAUAAGGGGAGCAAAGUAUGAGAGUUGGGGAGAUUAGAGGGAGUGUUUAGGAGAAACCAAAGACCAGUUUGACUAGCAUGGUGACUUUGGGAGAAUGAGAUAUUAUAGAUAAGGCUGGAAAAGUGGGUGAGGAAUACAUGGCACAGAACCAUGAAUAUAAGCUUAUGCAGUUUGGACUUUGCUGUGUAAACAAAAAAUCAUUUGGAAGGUUUUUGAGCAAAGGAGUGACACAAUCUCGGUGGUAUUUUUGGAAGAUUUGAUUGCAGAGCCAGGUACAGGGUGCAUUAAAUUCGCUGACAGGAGAUUGGACAGGAAGACCAGUUAGGGUUACUGAAUCCACCUAUUAAAGUCUCAAGGCCCUGAAAUUGGGAGUUAGUGAUGAAAAUACAAAGGAAGAAUUAGAUACCAAACACAUCUUGCUGAAGUAUGACAGCAGCAGCGCCUUUGCUUCUGAUACAGGUGGUAUUGGGCAGAAAUACCUGAUCUGUUAGUUAUUGGGAACAAACAAGUCCUUUAUCGAAUUAAAAGGAAACUGAAUUUGGAUAUUGCAAAUCAGUUUUCCCACGCAUCACUUGUGUUCUUUGGGUACUUGUGACCUCUCCAAGUUUUUCUCAACAGGUUCCAGUUCACUGUAUAAAUAAUUAGUUUCAGCCCAGCAUGCUACAAGAAGGGUGCCUUUUAAAUUGUUUAGUACAGCUGAUUAAAUUAAUUCCAGAGACUAAAUUUUAGAUCUUCAAAGAGCAUGUUUUCGCUUGGGGUAAAACAUUACCGUGGCUGAAUUACAUAUUAUCAAGCUGCAUGAGCUGUGGGCUACAAUAUUUUUGUUUUAAAGGGCAAUUUUUUGGCCCCAGCUUAGUGUUGCUAGACAAUUCAGUCAAAGGAUCCGGAAUAGUUACAGUUUUCCCUAAAGCCCUUAUUUAGGGCUCUCUUUCCUCAUUCUCCACCCUCGUCCCAUCACCUCUCUCACUCACACGUUGCCUGGCACUCCAAAUCUUCCUAAAAUUUGUCACUCCUUGCUCAAAAGCCUUCUCAAUGGUUUCGCUUAUGUAACAAAGUCCAAACUCCAUUACCUUAUUCCUGGUCCUCCACACAGGCUCCUAAUCCAUUUUAGGGAUUCAUACAUAGAAUCAAUGAUUCUAGCAUGCUCUUAAUUAUUAUAUUUAUACUAAAUGAGCACACUAAUGUAGACUAGGGAAUCUGAACAUGAUGCUAGGCUGUAUCAUCUGAAUUUCAGUUGGAGCCCAUGCCAAUGUAAAAAAUUCACUUUCAUAUUUUGGUAGAGCUGCUGGCCUAAGCCACAGCCACAGCAAUGCAGGAUCCAAGCCGAGUGUGCGAACUACACCACAGCUAACAGCAAUGCCAGAUACCCCACCACUGAGUGAGGCCAGGGAUCGAACCCGCAUCCUCAUGGAUACUAGUCGGAUUUGUUUCUGCUGCACCACAACAGGAACUCCCAUAUUUUGACUUUUAAAUUUCAGUGUUUUAUUUAACUACUUGGUCAUAGAGAUUUCCAUAUAUGAAAUUAAUCAACAUAGUUGUCCCUGUCAGUGACUCUGACUUUUAAAAAAUUAAUUCAUUAAGAGUUCCUGCUGUGGUGCAGUGGAUUAAUGAUCUGGCUUGUCUCUGUGGCAUUACCCAUUUGAUCCCUGGCUGGGAGCAGUGGGUUAAGGAUCUGGCAUUGCCACAAUUGUGGCAUAGGUCACAGAUGUGGCUUGGAUUUGAUCCCUGGCCCGGGAACUAACAUUUGCUGCUGGUGCCGCCUAAGAAAAGAAAAAUAAAUAAUUCCAUAAAAAUUAAUUCGUUAAUAUAUAGCUUUUUUUUCCUAAAAGUAAUUUAAGGCAGUUUAUGGUGAUAUAUAAAAUAUGCCAAGGUAUAAUUAAAAAUAGGUGAGAUAGGAGUUCCCGUCGUGGCUCAGUGGUUAACGAAUCUGACUAGGAACCAUGAGGUUUCGGAUUCAAUCCCUGGCCGCAAUCAGUGGGUUAAGGAUCUGGCUUUGCUGUGAGCUGUGGUGUAGGUGGCAGACGCGGCUCAGAUCCCGCGUUGCUGUGGCUGUGGUGUAGGCCAGUAACUACAGCUCCAAUUUGACCCCUAGCCUGGGAACCUCCAUAUGCUGUGGG
Molecule: long non-coding RNA, 4952 nt
Filed under: Sus scrofa (pig)
Lineage: Eukaryota; Metazoa; Chordata; Mammalia; Artiodactyla; Suidae
Description: lncRNA (ENSSSCG00025018413.1)
Source: RNAcentral